CUUUCAAAACGUUUUUCUUUAAAAUGCUUAGUUUUUGAAAGAAAAGGGGUGUACGGGUGGUAUAGGACACCCUGUAUAUGGUAAUGAAACUUUUUAUAUUGCAAUCGAACUCAAUACAAGUAUCACAAAGAAAUAUAAUAGUAUCAUAAUGUAAUCAAAACUUUGUCAAACAUAUUCGAAUCUUUUAUGAGUACUCAGAAAAACAGUAACAAAACACGAACAUCUACGUGCAAUCGGAAUUCUAGUGUGUACAUUCAAGGGUAGGAAUGGUGUCUCUAGGCGGCUAGAUGUAUAUGUGUAUGACAGCCAAAAGCGGUGUCCAGCCAGCGCGGUGUCCUAUAACUGUCUCACCCGCACUCCCUGCAUUCAAUUGGAGUGAGUAAGACAGAUAUCUUCUUCUUGUGCAAUACUCGAUUCGAGCGUACGCUAUCCCUCUACAUAUAUCUACGGUGUGCGCCGUUCCGCAAACAUAUGGGACCUACAAUUUAACGCCGGUUCCGAACGGCCUAGAUUUGUGAGAGAUUUUACCAGGCAAGAUAUACUCUCGGUGGUUUGCCAUUGCCUUCCGAGAGAUGGCGAUCGCGAAUUAUCGAAAUAAUUUGAUGUGUUUUCUGGCUCUGGCUGGAUUUGAACUCGAGCCCUUCAACACAGAGAACAGACGCACAGCUCUCCGCGCCACGAUCGCACACGAGACAGAUAUAGGAUACCAUUAAUUAACAUCACGUCUUAUAUUGCUUUCUCUCUCGAUCAUAUGACUUGCGAUAAGAAUGCAACAUCGGAAUGCCUCCCACUUUUUUCUCCUUCACUGCUUGAUCUUCUUCGCGCUUCAAGUGAUACGUAUACAUACAUACGCGAUCUGUGUGUAUGCGUGAUACUUUCGGUUGUCAUAUACAUAUACACCUAACCGCCGAGGGACACCAUUCCUGCCCUUGAGUGUACACAUCUGCAUACAAAAUAAUAUCUCUGAUAUAUAUGUGCACACAUUUUGAAAUUUCAAUUGCAUAUAAAGAAUGUUGUGUUUCGAAGUACUUGUAAAAAAUUCGAGUAUAUUUCAUAAAUUUUCAGUUACAAUUUGAUAUUAGUACCAAUAUGAUUCGUUAUUAUUAUUAUUCAUUGUUCGUAAUUUGUUUCAUUCAUAAUUGUAUGAAGUUUUUUAUAUAAUUACAUUAAAUACAUAUGUUUUUUUUAUAAAUAUUUUGAAAGUAUUCAAAAUUUUCAUGAAAUGAAUGGGCAACACUUUGAUUAUCUUAUUAAAUAAAAUUAAUUCAUUUUGUUUGAAAAAUUAUUAUUUUUAUUACUUAUCUACUAUUCUUCCUGUUUUUCUAAAUUUUUUCAUUUCAAGGUCACCCCACGAUCAAAGUGUUAUAGAUCGUUGGAUUUGUCUUUUCAUCCACUACAAUUAUAGCUGAUUAAAGACUUCCCAUUUAAAAAAUUUGAGAUAAACAUCAAAAUUUUUUGACGCCUCCAUAUAAAAAAAAAAAA
This is a long non-coding RNA of Formica exsecta, 1482 nucleotides long. RefSeq lists it as uncharacterized. The record is from RefSeq and is a predicted model, not a curated record. Lineage: Eukaryota; Metazoa; Arthropoda; Insecta; Hymenoptera; Formicidae. The transcript has 2 exons.